RNAcentral lists this ribosomal RNA (121 nucleotides) under Methanobacteriota archaeon. Lineage: Archaea; Methanobacteriati; Methanobacteriota. The record is from RNAcentral.
GUGCACGACCAUAGCGAAGGUGUACUACCCGGUCCCAUCUCGAACCCGGAAGUCAAGCCCUUCUGCGUCAUUUCCUGUACUGUGGUGCGAAAGCCCACGGGAACGAUUGUCGUUGUGCCAC